CUUUAAUUCUGCACCUUCAUUUCUAGGUGGCUGAGGAGGCUCCCUGAACUACCUCACCUCCAUCUCCAGCUCCAGCUCCACCCAGCCAGCCCUUUUCACCUCUCGGAACACCUGCUUUUCAGUCCAAAAGCAAUGGAACCAGCGAUCAUGGACUAAGAAAGACCUCUGAAGUCUGGGAGCCCAAAUAAGACUUUCUGUCUUAUAAGUUGAUUCUUUCUAGUAUUUUGUCGCAGUAAUGGAAAGCUGACUAACAGAGAUAAUGUCACCUUUGGAAGGCCCUACAGAACCUGAUUUUCCCCUUCUGCAUUGGAGAAGCAACACGUAUAACAAUCCACAGGAGAGUCGAGGGGCUUUAGUAAAGUUGGAUUACGCUGGCCUGUCACCUUGUUUGGAUUAGACCCAGAAAGAGGAGAGGAAAUCCAGACCCUGUUGAAAGUGACAAGAGAAUUCCAUAGUCGAUGAUGUUUACGUCGAGCCAGUUUCUGAUUAUAAAGAAAAUGAGGACUUCUAAUACAACCCGGUAGAAAUAAUUAGCUGGAGGGUGGAGCCUUGGUUUUGAAGGAUUCCUUUGCACUGCAAAUGUCUUUCCCCCAGGCAUUUUGACCAGGCAUCCCUUGGACCAUCUGUGGAAUGAUCUCAUGACCCCGGAACGCAUUCUCGCACAGCACAGACAGACUUCACCUAGGCCACCUACACUGCCCGGAGUCGGCAAGGGGACCUUCUCCCAGAAGCUACUUCGGGGUGGGCCUGUAGGUGGCCAGGAGGGUCAGGCCUCAGGACAGAGCAGAGGCUCAGCAGAGCGGAAGCGUGCUGUGGCUGACGCCAUUGUCACCUUCCCAAACUUGUUUGGGAAAGGCAUCACGUUGCAGAGGUGCUGCGAACAGAGGUGACACAGUCCCAGCUGCGGAAACACCAUCCGAUGAACACAAGGCUUUUUUGUUUCUGUUCUUUUACGGAGGUCUAGGGACUCAGUGAACUUUCUAACACCGGAUGCAAAAAUGUCUUUUUGUGCAUUUUAUUCUGGGGGAAAAAAAACACAUUUCCUCAAAUAUGUCAGGUCCAUGACUCCCCAGCAUCCAGAAACUUCUGUUACUAACUGGCUCCCGGGAGACCUCUCCUCAGCAACCGACUAAACCACGUUCCCACCAAGGUGACCUUGGGCAGGAGACACCCCCACAGCCCUCUGGCCUGUUGGAUGCAGCCUCGUUGGGGCUAGUGUGGCCACCCUCCCCACCUCUCUGCCCUCCCCUUGUUCUUUCCCCUUUUC
Ictidomys tridecemlineatus (thirteen-lined ground squirrel) is the source of this 1267-nucleotide long non-coding RNA. RefSeq lists it as uncharacterized. NCBI's taxonomy places the organism in Eukaryota, Metazoa, Chordata, Mammalia, Rodentia, Sciuridae. The record is from RefSeq and is a predicted model, not a curated record.